GAUGAACGCUGGCGGCGUGCCUAAUACAUGCAAGUCGAGCGAACAGACGAGGAGCUUGCUCCUCUGACGUUAGCGGCGGACGGGUGAGUAACACGUGGAUAACCUACCUAUAAGACUGGGAUAACUUCGGGAAACCGGAGCUAAUACCGGAUAAUAUAUUGAACCGCAUGGUUCAAUAGUGAAAGACGGUUUUGCUGUCACUUAUAGAUGGAUCCGCGCCGCAUUAGCUAGUUGGUAAGGUAACGGCUUACCAAGGCGACGAUGCGUAGCCGACCUGAGAGGGUGGUCGGCCACACUGGAACGGGGACACGGUCCAGACUCCUACGGGAGGCAGCAGUAGGGAAUCUUCCGCAAUGGGCGAAAGCCUGACGGAGCAACGCCGCGUGAGUGAUGAAGGUCUUCGGAUCGUAAAACUCUGUUAUUAGGGAAGAACAAAUGUGUAAGUAACUAUGCACGUCUUGACGGUACCUAAUCAGAAAGCCACGGCUAACUACGUG
This 497-nucleotide ribosomal RNA is filed under the name uncultured bacterium. RNAcentral's name for it is "partial 16S ribosomal RNA". It matches the Rfam family "Bacterial small subunit ribosomal RNA", at positions 28 to 507 of the family's 1533-position model. The record is from RNAcentral.